AUGUCAGUAGGGAGUGCUAGAUUAAUAGGUGCAGGUGUUGCAACAGUAGGUUUAGCGGGUCCAGGGGUGGGUAUCGGAAUGGUUUUCGGGUGCUAUAUUUUGGGGGUGACUCGUAAUCCGAAUAAAGAAGCGGAUUCGUUCAAAUAUUGUAUUAUGGGGUUUGCAUUGACAGAAGCAAUGGGUCUGUUUGUACUAAUGAUGUCAUUUUUAAUAUUAUUUGGUUAAUAGUGCAAAGACUCAGUAAACGCAAGUUUAAUUUUAUUUUAUUGUAAUAUGAUGUAUGUGGACUAUUGUGUGUCUAGAUGGAGAUUGGAGCGUGUAUGUAUGAUGAUAGUGAUAUUUUUUUUUAAGAUUUGUUCGGUGGAUAUAAGUCGAUUGUUUAUUGAUACUAAUUUUGUUAUGAUUAGUAGGUAUAAGAAGUAUGUAUAAAGAAGUGAAACAUCUCAGUAUGUGUGGAAGUAUGAAUAAUGGUGUGAGUAUGCGGCGAGUGAAAGCAUUUGAGUUAAGUGAUGUAUGUUUAGUGUGAACUAGAUGGAUAUAAUACAAGAGAAUUGACAUAACUGAAAGUGAAGAGUACCGUGAGGGAAUGUCCGAAGUGUGAGACAUAUGUUUGUGACGGUUAAGUUUUUUGAUAUUAUAAGUUGCAGGUCUUUGCACUAUAGUAGUUUUAUAGCGUACCUUUUGAAGAAUGGAUUUGCUAGUUUAUUUAUAAUGAAUAGUUUAUAGGUGUUGUUUUGUGCUGUAGACGUGUAUGAAAGUAGUUUUAGUUUAGAUAGUUAUAAUAAGACACGAAACCCAGUGAUCUAUACAUGAUAAGACAAGAGAUUGGUCGAAGCGGUGUCUGUGGCAUCAGGCUCGUAAUAAUUGUGUAUAGGGGCGAAAGACUAAUCAAACUGGGUUAUAGCUUGUUUUCCGCGAAAUGUAUUUAAGUACAGUAGUUUUAAGGUUGUGAUGGUAAGGAGUAUUUUAGAGGGACUUUAAACAUGUAAUAUGAGAUAAAUGAUUUAGUAAUUGGACGGUAUUGUGGUUAGAAGAUCAUUAUGACGAGAAGGAAACAGCCGGUGAGUAAUAGUAAAGAAUGUGUAUUUAGGGAAUAAUGUAAAGUCUUUGUAUCAGAGUAAGAAUAUGGGUAGGCUUAGCAUCAGUUAUCCUUUAAUGAGAAGUGGUUACAGCAUAUGUUGUGUAAAUAUAGGGAUUAGAAUGUAUUGUGGAUACCUUUUGUAUAUGUUUAUUGAAGCUUUAUGUAGAUUUCUAGAUAUGUGUUAUUAUAGAAUUGUAAUGUAGCGGAAAAGUCUAUGACGUAUUUUUUAAGUUUGUUUGUAUAGUGUGAUGAUAAUGGAUGUGAGAAUGCAAGUUUGAAUAGGGUGAAAAGCAGAUGAUGAAUUGUUGUUGAUUUAAAGUUUAAGUGUUUCAAAGAAUGGUAAUACCUAUUUGAGAGAAUGAAGGUCUAAGGAAUGAUAAUGUUUUGAUGAUGUGAUUUGAUAUGUUGUAAUGUGAUUGUGAGUGAUUGAAUAAUUCAAGAAAGAGGGGAAAUGUAGUAUAGAUGUUAUAGUUAAUCCGACACAGGUGAAUGAAUAUAAGAAUAUUAAGAUAAGAUAUGAAGUAUUGUUGGGGAACUCGGCAAAUUGAGGCUGUAACUUAGGUAUAAGGUCGAUGUACAUUUUUGUGCAUAUAUGAAAGGGAGAAUGGUGACUGUUUAUCAAAAACACAAGUAUCUGCAAAUAUUUAAUGGAGGUAAAGAUACUGACGUCUGUCCGAUGUUGUGACUCGAAGAUAUGAUUCAGGGUAAGUUUCGUAUAGAAGAAGCAAUCAAUGACAGCAAUAACUAUAAUUGUUCUAAGGUAGCUAAAUGGCUUGUCAUUUAAAUGGUGUCUUGGUGAAUGACGUAACAACUGUUCUACUAUCCUGAUGAUAUAUGUCUCGAAUUAGGAAUAACUGUGAAGAUACGGUUAAUAAAUGGCAAGACGAGAAGACCCUAUAUACCUUAACUGAAAUCUGGCAAAGAAUAUAGAAGAACAUUUGUGUAUAGUUUUAGUAUCUAUAUCAAAAUGAGUUCUAUAAACGAAUGUUAUUAAGAAGUGUUUACAUGAGUUGUUUGAUGGUUAGUUUAGUUGGGGCGACUACCUUUUAAAUGGUAACAAAGGUGAUCAAGGGCCUAAAAAUAGAAUAAAAUUCAAAAUAGUCGUGAAUAAGAACACAUACAGGUGUUUUAUGUAUGAAUAGUAAUAGUGCAGGUAUUAUUGUUUAUAUGAUUUAGUGAACUGGUUUUGUAUGUAGAAGUAGAAAGCAAUCAACGAAUAAAAGGUACAUUAGGGAUAACAGGCUAAUUUCCAUUUAUAGGACAUAUUAAUGUGGAAGUUUGGCACCUCGAUGUCGACUUAUCAUAUCCGGGCGAAGGAGAGUAUGCCAAUGGUUCAGGUGUUCACUGAGUAAAAUGUUACGUGAGUUGGGUUAAAAACGACGCGAGUCAGUUUGGGUUCUAUCUGCCAUCUUUGUAGUAAGUUUUUUAUUAUAAAUGUAUGUAGUAUGGUAUUUUGUACGAAAGGAUCAUGUAGUAGGUAAAUAUACGAUACUUUGUUAUGAAUGUAUGUUAGUCGCGUUAUACAUGCAACUUCGUGUAAUUUGUAUUGCCAGGAACGUGUAUGAGUAGAGUAUGCAAAUGUUUUAAGUAAAAGAAGUAUGAAAUUUUGUUUAAUAUGUUUAUGAAAGAUGUUCUGGAAAGUAACAGGUUUAUGGACAAAGUG
Molecule: ribosomal RNA, 2744 nt
Filed under: Saccostrea glomerata
Lineage: Eukaryota; Metazoa; Mollusca; Bivalvia; Ostreida; Ostreidae
Description: bacterial LSU rRNA
Rfam family: Bacterial large subunit ribosomal RNA (bases 487-2513)
Source: RNAcentral